Molecule: long non-coding RNA, 637 nt
Organism: Micropterus dolomieu (smallmouth bass)
Lineage: Eukaryota; Metazoa; Chordata; Actinopteri; Centrarchiformes; Centrarchidae
Exons: 4
Source: RefSeq, a predicted model, not a curated record
CAGUCUAGCCUGCCCUGCUGUCAUGCGUUAACGUGUUGUUUCCUGCACGGGUCUGUUUUGAUCAUCUCGCCGUGUAAAUAAAUUUUCCUACAGGUGACCCGAAUGUCAUGUCUGCUUUGGUUCAUCUUACAGAUGUGUUGGCCCAGCUCUGUCACCAAAACAAGGAUUAGUAUCAAAGGGAAACACAAGGAUGUUUUCACUGGCUCUGUUCUCAUCAAUUAAAAGCAUCACCACACAUAUCUGUUUGACACACUGGAUGAUGGCUUCUGGGGCCCCUGAGAUUGUCACUGCCCUCUCGGUGGAGUUGGGGAGCAUGUCCCCUGCAACCUGGACCUGAGCUCCUGUGGACUAAAGAGCCUCCUUUUCCAAUGAGGGAGCCACACUGGCUGGCCGGGACAACGAGCCUCAGGGUUACAGGUGGUUUACUGGUGGCUGGACUGUUGCUCAUAGAGUUGAUUAUAUCCUGAGGGGAGGGAAAAAAUGGUUAUAUCUGACAAAUUCAGCAGUAAUUACUGGAUUUGCAUUGGUGGCUUUCGUAGAAAUACUACCUCCAAGUAGCUCUUCAGAUUGUACACACUUGCCAUUACUAGUGUAGCUCUGUUAUGUUCUUCAUAUAUUAAUAUUUGUCAUUAUGCUU